GCUCCCCGAUGUUGCCCGCACGAUGCCAACACCUGCACAGAGUGGUUGCAUACCCGGGCGCACACGGCGCCGGGUGCCCAGGACCUGCUUCAGGGCUCGGAGGAGGCACCUGCCUUCCCACUCUUCCCUCUUCAGUCUCUAGGGAGCAAGACCGUCCUCCACCAGGUCUCUCCCGCCUGACGCUCGCCGCUGGGCGCGCACCUGUCUUGGCUUUCUCAGGGGCACCAUGGGCCGGGAUGCGCAAGGAGCUGCCCACGCACCCCACAAUCCUACAUUCCUCAGGCUGGCACCCUGCUGGCCGGAGGUUCCAGAUGUUCCACCCAGAUGGGGGCUUUUUGAGGCGUCAGGCUGCACGCAGAGCGGGAUCCUAAGCUCCAUUUCUACAUGGGGAAACCGAGGCGCACCACCACCCAGGUCUUACCCUGGUUCCAGCCACCAUCCUCUUUCAUCUGGAUUUCUGCAAUAGCCUCCUGACUGGUCUCCCUGCUUCCACCCUUGGCCCCCUGCAGUUGAUUCUCUACACAGCAGUCAGAGCCAUCCUUUUAAAACAAUUCAAGGUAACUCUAGCACUAAGCUCUCAGAACAAGUCUUCAGGAAGCUUUUCCUGAUGGUAGACUCUUACGGACCCCAUGGCCAAUGACCUUAGUGUCAUUGUUAAGCAAAUGCACACAUGAGAUUCAUGGAGCUGAUUUUGAUGAGGUCUCUUGACAAAAGCUGGGCAUCAUCCCACAUCUAAAUUGGUAAAGGUUCCAAAGGUCAUUUACACCUGUUGUCUAAUUUGCUCCUGAUAAUCACCUGUAAGUAAGAUCAGGCAUUUUUACAGGAGUUCACCAAUUCCAGGGCAGAGCAUUUGGGGCAGUGGCCAGAGGAGUCUAGAGCAUGAGCAAGCCCAGAAAAAACAAAACAAAACAAACAAAAAAGAAAAACGAAGCGCCUCGUGUUAAGGAGUUUGGAUUUUUGUCUUGAGGGCAACGACAGAAGGAUUUUAAGCUGGGAACUUGUGUCGUAUGAGGACAACUCUGACUGCCAGUAUGAAGAAUGGACUGGAGAGAUAAGAAUGGCAGAAGGGAGAAAAUUUUAGGGUGAUUCAGGUGAAAAAGCAUGGCUGCCUGGAUUAGGAGGUUGGCACUGGAGAUGGAAGGAAGUGAACAGAGUUGACAGAUAAAAAAGUGGAAUUGACAGGGCUUGCUGGUUGGCUGACGGUGGAGGGUGAGGGAAGGUUUUAGGAUGAGGGCAGGGUUUCUGACUUGGGCAACAAGGUGAGGUGCGGCACUCUACAUUGUAGGUAAAGGCUAGCUGAGGAGCCAUUUGGGGGUGGGACAUGAGAGCUCAGUUUUAGACGUGUGGUGUUUGAAGUUCCAGUAUGACAGGGACAGGGAGGGAUAGCGACGUGUGUGGACCUUUUGCCUCCAGGCCCUGUGAUCUACCCAGAAUGCCUUGCUAAGUGAGAGCCUCCGUCUGUAAAGACCACUCAGAAACCCAGAGACUGCCAGAUAAACUUGGAAAUCCCCUACUUCAUCCCCUUCACAUUUCAGAUGAGAAAACAGAGGCCAGAGAAAAACUAUUCCUGGAAGUGGUUGGCUGAGCUAAACCCAGAGCACGGGGCUUCCCAGAAGCCCCCUUCCCUGCCAUCCCAUAGUACUCCAGUCCAGAGGGCACACACCAAACACUUGUGGCUCAAUCCAGACUCCAGAAGGGCUCUGUUUGGACUGCAACUAAAUCAAACUACUUGUCAUCAUUAAA
Neofelis nebulosa (Clouded leopard) is the source of this 1743-nucleotide long non-coding RNA. RefSeq lists it as uncharacterized. The record is from RefSeq and is a predicted model, not a curated record. The transcript is spliced from 4 exons. NCBI's taxonomy places the organism in Eukaryota, Metazoa, Chordata, Mammalia, Carnivora, Felidae.